AUGAUUUUUAUGAAAUUUUUUUUUCAUCAAUCAUACUGCUAUGGCCACAGACUCUCAGACUUAGUCUCUCAAAUCUCAUAGGACUACUCCUCUCUAUCAAGAUCGAUAGAUUUUAUUUUGAUGCGCAUCCUUCUCCUACAGUGGACCAACUAUUGCUAACAUCUACUAUAAGAGCUCAUUGAGAUCCAUGUUUAUAUGUCAGUCAAACUCUAGCAGUUUCAUUGUGAGUAGUAGUACCAUCUCAGAUCAGAGGAUCAUUCAUACAACUACAGCAUC
This 276-nucleotide long non-coding RNA is filed under the name Elaeis guineensis (African oil palm). RNAcentral describes it as "long non-coding RNA (EGUI_LNC040674)". Lineage: Eukaryota; Viridiplantae; Streptophyta; Magnoliopsida; Arecales; Arecaceae. The record is from RNAcentral.